This 745-nucleotide ribosomal RNA is filed under the name uncultured Parvimonas sp. RNAcentral describes it as "bacterial SSU rRNA". It matches the Rfam family "Bacterial small subunit ribosomal RNA", at positions 27 to 776 of the family's 1533-position model. Lineage: Bacteria; Bacillati; Bacillota; Tissierellia; Tissierellales; Peptoniphilaceae. The record is from RNAcentral.
GGACGAACGCAGGCGGCGUGCUUAACACAUGCAAGUCGAACGUGAUUUAUGUGGAAAUUCUUUCGGGAAUGGAAGCGAAAUGAAAGUGGCGAACGGGUGAGUAACACGUGAGCAACCCACCUUACACAGAGGGAUAGCCGUUGGAAACGACGAUUAAAACCGCAUGAGACCACAGAAUCGCAUGAAUAGGGGUCAAAAGAUUAUCGGUGUAAGAAGGGCUCGCGUCUGAUUAGCUAGUGGAAGGGUAAAGGCCUACCAAGGCGACGAUCAGUAGCCGGUCUGAGAGGAUGAACGGCCACAUUGGAAAUGAGACACGGUCCAAACUCCUACGGGAGGCAGCAGUGGGGAAUAUUGCACAAUGGGGGGAACCCUGAUGCAGCGACGCCGCGUGAGCGAAGAAGGUUUUCGAAUCGUAAAGCUCUGUCCUAUGAGAAGAUAAUGACGGUAUCAUAGGAGGAAGCCCCGGCUAAAUACGUGCCAGCAGCCGCGGUAAUACGUAUGGGGCGAGCGUUGUCCGGAAUUAUUGGGCGUAAAGGGUACGUAGGCGGUUUUUUAAGUCAGGUGUGAAAGCGUGAGGCUUAACCUCAUUAAGCACUUGAAACUGGAAGACUUGAGUGAAGGAGAGGAAAGUGGAAUUCCUAGUGUAGCGGUGAAAUGCGUAGAUAUUAGGAGGAAUACCGGUGGCGAAGGCGACUUUCUGGACUUUUACUGACGCUCAGGUACGAAAGCGUGGGGAGCAAACAGG